ACUGACGCUGAGGAGCGCAAAUGCGUGGGGCGUGAACAGGAUUAGAUACCCUGGUAGUCCACGCCGUAAUCGAUGAGUGCUAAGUGUUAGGGGGUUUCCGCCCCUUAGUGCUGCAGCUAACGCAUUAAGCACUCCGCCUGGGGAGUACGGUCGCAAGACUGAAACUCAAAGGAAUUGACGGGGGCCCGCACAAGCGGUGGAGCAUGUGGUUUAAUUCGAAGCAACGCGAAGAACCUUACCAGGUCUUGACAUCCUCUGACAAUCCUAGAGAUAGGACGUCCCCUUCGGAGCAGAGUGACAGGGUGGUGCAUGGUUGUCGUCAGCUCGUG
This 329-nucleotide ribosomal RNA is filed under the name Bacillus subtilis. RNAcentral describes it as "bacterial SSU rRNA". It matches the Rfam family "Bacterial small subunit ribosomal RNA", at positions 739 to 1064 of the family's 1533-position model. Lineage: Bacteria; Bacillati; Bacillota; Bacilli; Caryophanales; Bacillaceae. The record is from RNAcentral.